Molecule: long non-coding RNA, 440 nt
Organism: Oxyura jamaicensis (ruddy duck)
Lineage: Eukaryota; Metazoa; Chordata; Aves; Anseriformes; Anatidae
Exons: 3
Source: RefSeq, a predicted model, not a curated record
GGAAGGUUUGUCUCUGUCUUGGUCAUAGUAAUGUUUGUAUUUACCUGUGGAUCCUAUUGAUUGUGAUAUACCUGCAUCAUCACUGUAAUCUUGCCCGGUAACUGGAUGCGUGGUUCAAAAUGGCUACAAUCUGUGGUUCUGCCUGGCUGUUAUGCUAAGGUACAAGGGGACUUGCUUUGCAGCUGAGGUGACCAAGAGGUGCCCUGAGCCCAAUUCAAUGUCAGGGAAGUAACGGGGCAGGGUGCCUGCUACUGUUAGCUGAGCUUGUGCUACUGGCAACCUGCAGCCCCAUAGGAUGAUGAAAGCUCCUGAUUAUACAUUUGAGCCUUUGUGCUUGUCUCUGAAGAAACAGAAAUGCCAUUCCAAUAUAAGUACUAAUACUAACCAUUUUAUCUAAUUCCUGUCAACAAAAUAACACAAGGAAACACCUAUGAGCUUUU